Non-coding RNA from Carica papaya (papaya), 277 nucleotides. NCBI's taxonomy places the organism in Eukaryota, Viridiplantae, Streptophyta, Magnoliopsida, Brassicales, Caricaceae. The record is from RefSeq and is a predicted model, not a curated record.
GGCAGCCAGUGUUGACCAUUGAGACGAGUCGAGAGAGUUCAGCUUUUGCAAGUUCUAUGCCAACCGAAGAAGAACUAUAACCAGCAAGGGUUUCUUGAGCUUUCUUUAGUACUGACUAGACAAUUAUCACAAAAAGUUUCAGCCUGGUGGCCUUUGCCAAGCCUGUACUUCUGCAACAAAGAAAUAGGAAAAAAGUUUUUGACUCUGUUUUCAUGUCGAAAAGAGGAGUAAAAAGAUCGACAAGAAAGGGAAGAAGCACCUGUAAAUGGCUCUUAAG